GAUGAACGCUGGCGGCGUGCCUAAUACAUGCAAGUCGAGCGAACAGACGAGGAGCUUGCUCCUCUGACGUUAGCGGCGGACGGGUGAGUAACACGUGGAUAACCUACCUAUAAGACUGGGAUAACUUCGGGAAACCGGAGCUAAUACCGGAUAAUAUAUUGAACCGCAUGGUUCAAUAGUGAAAGACGGUUUUGCUGUCACUUAUAGAUGGAUCCGCGCCGCAUUAGCUAGUUGGUAAGUUAACGGCUUACCAAGGCGACGAUGCGUAGCCGACCUGAGAGGGUGAUCGGCCACCCUGGAACUGAGACAGGGUCCAGACUCCUACGGGAGGCAGCAGUAGGGAAUCUUACGCAAUGGGCGAAAGCCUGACGGAGCAACGCCGCGUGAGUGAUGAAGGUCUUCGGAUCGUAAAACUCUGUUAUUAGGGAAGAACAAAUGUGUAAGUAACUAUGCACGUCUUGACGGUACCUAAACAGAAAGCCACGGCUAACUACGUG
Molecule: ribosomal RNA, 497 nt
Filed under: uncultured bacterium
Lineage: Bacteria
Description: partial 16S ribosomal RNA
Rfam family: Bacterial small subunit ribosomal RNA
Source: RNAcentral